AUCUACAGCCAUGCUACUCUGAACGAGCCUGAUCCCAUCUGAUCUUGGAAGCUAAGCAGGAUCGGGCCUGGUUAGUACUUGGAUGGGAGACCACCUAAGAAGAUCAGGUGCUGUAGGUG
This 119-nucleotide ribosomal RNA is filed under the name Pteropus alecto (black flying fox). The record is from RNAcentral. Lineage: Eukaryota; Metazoa; Chordata; Mammalia; Chiroptera; Pteropodidae.